RNAcentral lists this ribosomal RNA (468 nucleotides) under uncultured bacterium. Its description in RNAcentral is "partial 16S ribosomal RNA". It matches the Rfam family "Bacterial small subunit ribosomal RNA", at positions 28 to 507 of the family's 1533-position model. The record is from RNAcentral.
GACGAACGCUGGCGGCGUGCUUAACACAUGCAAGUCGAACGGAGAGGCUCCACCUUUGUGGGGUGCUUGAGUGGCGAACGGGUGAGUAACACGUGAGUAACCUGCCCUAGACUCUGGGAUAACCUCUGGAAACUGCGGCUAAUACUGGAUACGAAAUUCUCCCGCAUGGUCGGGGUUUGGAAGUUUUGUCGGUUUGGGAUGGGCUCGCGGCCUAUCAGCUUGUUGGUGGGGUAGUGGCUUACCAAGGCGACGACGGGUAGCCGGCCUGAGAGGGUGACCGGCCACACUGGGACUGAGACACGGCCCAGACUCCUACGGGAGGCAGCAGUGGGGAAUAUUGCACAAUGGGCGGAAGCCUGAUGCAGCAACGCCGCGUGCGGGAUGACGGCCUUCGGGUUGUAAACCGCUUUCGGCGGGGAAGAAGCGAGAGUGACGGUAACUGGAAAAGAAGCACCGGCUAACUACGUG